RNAcentral lists this long non-coding RNA (805 nucleotides) under Rattus norvegicus (Norway rat). Its description in RNAcentral is "long non-coding RNA NONRATT002659". Lineage: Eukaryota; Metazoa; Chordata; Mammalia; Rodentia; Muridae. The record is from RNAcentral.
UGAGCCCACAGUCCCCUCACCCAGUUGCUUGCCCUUGGGACUGGGUCCGCCAAGGACUCCUUCUUUACCUACUCUGUCCAUCUGAGAAGACCUGUGUGGGCGGAAUUCAGAUGCACCGGUUGCAUGUCUGCCUCUGCAGCCCUGGUAGGACACCUCCAAUCCUAGGGAACCCCUCCAGAUGUUUCAGAGUUAUCUUACCAUCUUGUUACACUUCAAGUGUGAGCACACACGAUGCAUCCCUCUCACAAUUAAAAAAUACAACCUAUGCAGCUACCAUUAUGAAAACAGCCAGGGUGAUCUGGGGGGAAGAGGCCUCGGAAAGGUGUUCUUUUUGGACAGCAGAAACCCAAGGUGUCUCUCCAGAACCCCUGCUAAGUUGGUAGUGCUGAUCCUGUGCAUAAGAAGUAGCCUGGAGUGGCCAUGGUAGCACCUGACUUUCACCUUUGUACUGUGAAGGCUAAGGCAGGAGGCCCUACAUCCUCAGGCCCUCUCUCAACAAAGAAAAUUCUCAAACUGGGUAUAGCAAUGCACACCUGUGAUCCUAGCAUCAGGAUCAGGAGUUGGAAGUCAUCCCCAGCCACACAGGGAAUGCAGAUCAGUCUGAGCUGCAUGAGACCCCCAUCUCAGAAGUAGAAAGAAAAUUGCAAAAAUCUAGGCUCAACAGUGGUGGCAUACACUUAAGGAGACAGAGGCCAAUAGAUCUCUGAGUUUGAGGCUAGCCUGGGCUACACAGAAAUCUUAUUUUUAAAAAAUAUAUAUUUUUUCAAAAAUCCAAAACAAAUAAAAAUGUGCCUUUCCAUCACAA